Long non-coding RNA from Paralichthys olivaceus (Japanese flounder), 763 nucleotides. RefSeq lists it as uncharacterized. The record is from RefSeq and is a predicted model, not a curated record. NCBI's taxonomy places the organism in Eukaryota, Metazoa, Chordata, Actinopteri, Pleuronectiformes, Paralichthyidae.
AACGUAGGCCUGGGCCGAUAAUCAAUAAAUCAAUUAAUCGCACGAUAAAUUAAAAUGAACUCGAUAAUUUUGCCGGCCUCGAUAUAUCGCCAUGUGCACGCGCGUUUGUUUUCCUCGCCUCUCGCCUCCAAGCAGGCUGGAUGACAAGAGGGUUCACUCUGUGCUCGGUCUCAGCACCUGGGGGCGUUGGUUGCGGAAUGAACGGAGUGAACCCUCCUGUCAGUCAUCCAGCCUCUUUGUCACUGUGGGGGGAGGCGGGGCCGCUAGCAUUAGCCACACAUGCUACACGCACAGAGUGCAGCGAGUGAGCGUCGUGCGGAGCAACGCGAGGAGAAAAGAUGAUUGCAAAGUCAAAACGCCACAGCCCCGGUGUGGCAGCCAGUUCAAAAGUGGUGGCAACGACAAAAAGGCAACACAACAAAGUUGCAUGUCCACCUGAAGCAUCACCACCCAAAGUGCAGCUCGAGAUGCGGAGCCUUCGUCCCGACAGUCAACACUCGCUGAGGCGUUCGGUCGACAAAGUCAAUAUAAACGGAACAGCGCAAAAUGGUGUGCGCUCAUUGAAAGUGAAGUUCGCUACAUCGCUAAAGGACUGAUACAGUGAGUCUCACUGGCCAGUAUCAGUAUCCCGAUGAUCGACCAGGAGAUGUUGAUGCUUUUUCCAGAGAACCUUUUGUUGUCCGUUUCAAAGCCCCCAAGACAGCUAUAAAGGAGUUUGUCCUCAUACCUCAGCACACCACUCCAGUCAACACCACUAAGGAGC